AUAGUCCUUUCACGAAUUCGGAUCUCUGAACCUUCUCUUCCUGAUCCUUGUCCAUUGAGGGAAAUGCUUGGGAGCUUUCACUAAUAUGGUCAUCUAGGCUGUUGUUGGAUACACUUGGUUCGUCUGAAGUGCAGGGCUGUCUUGUAGGAGAUCUUUUAGCAGGCUGCUGAUUGCCAACAAAUGAUAACAGUAACUGGUUGGUUUCCGUAUUUGAGGAAGAACUAACAUGGCUGGACUUCUUUUCCAAAUAAACACUCAACAACUCUUUCCUCAGUAAGGAUAAGGCUGAGAAAGAUCCACCAUUUUUAUGUUUCCUUUUGCAAAGUGCUUUUAAAAUGCUUUCAUGCUGCACGAUGACGUGUGUAGCCAUAUUUGUUCGCACCUUGGUAGCACAUAGAGGACAUAUCCCGGUCUUAGCCUCUAUCCGAUGCUCGCUAUCAAUGUGACAGCACAAUCCAAGCAUAUCAAAGUCUUCUGAACAAAACGGGCAUGCCAAAUCCGUCUUUACAUUAUCAUCAUGAACAUCUUCAUCUUCAUCAUCCUCUUCCUCAUCGUCCUCUUCCUCACUGUCUGAAUCAGAGUCCUCCCCACCUUCCAGGAAAUGCAGAGUAGGGCACUGGGCUUCCUCCUGGGCACCAUAAGCCCCGA
This 648-nucleotide unclassified non-coding RNA is filed under the name Hevea brasiliensis (rubber tree). The record is from RNAcentral. Lineage: Eukaryota; Viridiplantae; Streptophyta; Magnoliopsida; Malpighiales; Euphorbiaceae.